CAGCAGUCGCCGCGGUAAUACGUAGGGCGCAAGCGUUGUCCGGAAUUAUUGGGCGUAAAGAGCUCGUAGGCGGUCUGUCGCGUCUGGUGUGAAAUCCCGAGGCUCAACCUCGGGCUUGCAUCGGGUACGGGCAGACUAGAGUGCGGUAGGGGAGACUGGAAUUCCUGGUGUAGCGGUGGAAUGCGCAGAUAUCAGGAGGAACACCGAUGGCGAAGGCAGGUCUCUGGGCCGCAACUGACGCUGAGGAGCGAAAGCAUGGGGAGCGAACAGGAUUAGAUACCCCAGUAGUCCCUGUCUCUUAUAC
This 304-nucleotide ribosomal RNA is filed under the name uncultured bacterium. Its description in RNAcentral is "partial 16S ribosomal RNA". It matches the Rfam family "Bacterial small subunit ribosomal RNA", at positions 509 to 807 of the family's 1533-position model. The record is from RNAcentral.